UUUCCUACGGGAGGCAGCAGUGGGGAAUAUUGCACAAUGGGCGCAAGCCUGAUGCAGCCAUGCCGCGUGUAUGAAGAAGGCCUUCGGGUUGUAAAGUACUUUCAGCGGGGAGGAAGGCGGUGAGGUUAAUAACCUCGCCGAUGACGUACCGCAGAAGAGACCGACCGCCAC
RNAcentral lists this ribosomal RNA (171 nucleotides) under Pantoea agglomerans. RNAcentral's name for it is "partial 16S ribosomal RNA". It matches the Rfam family "Bacterial small subunit ribosomal RNA", at positions 335 to 500 of the family's 1533-position model. Lineage: Bacteria; Pseudomonadati; Pseudomonadota; Gammaproteobacteria; Enterobacterales; Erwiniaceae. The record is from RNAcentral.